ACCUUAGUACGCUGGGCAUUGGCCGUAUUCGGGGUGUAAGUUCCGACGGCCGAGGUGUAAGUCUGACGGCACUAAGUCCCACACAUAAGUCCAGGGGCGUUUUACGAGUGUUCCGCCCCGGUGCGAGGCCCGACCGAGUCCUAAUUCUGCCUUUUAAGACAGAGGUUGAUACAAAUCAGAAUUAGCUGGUUACAAAGCAGAGUGGAAAAUAGAAGUGUACAGUGAAAGCAGGGAAAUAUUUAUGAAGGAACUACUGUAAGACAGAAAGGUUUAGUAAAAGCAGUGAAAUAUGAACUACUGUAAGAGUUUCAUUCGGCUGAUAAAAUUGUUUCCUUAUAGGGAAGUUAAUGUAAGUGACUGUAGAGGAAAUGUUAGAAGUACAAAAUAACAUGAAUUGGUCUGUCUGGGCACACCGUUAAAAUUUUUAUAUCGUUUGGUUAUACGGAGUAUUACCUAGCUAUUCCGACGGUAACCUGAAGAAUUGUAUUAGUGCUAUAUAUAUGUAAUGGUAUCAAAAUCAUGCGUAUCCGCGCAAUGUAUAGCAUAACAGGCGGAUAAUGUUAUAUAUUGUGAGGAAUCAUGAUUGUAUCUGUGAAGACGAACACUGCAGUUUACAAUUGAAGUUGCGGACAAAGUAGGCAACACUCAAGUUUUGCCUUGGGCACUUACAUUUUUGGCUGUCAUUAGCUGAAGAUAUAGCAGAAUUGUCGUUGGCAGGGAUCACUGGUAGUUCCCAAUUGAAUGGGAAAUAGUUGUAUGUGAAAAGAACCUUCAUAAAUAACCACUACACAUAUCAAAUGAGAAAAUACAGAUCAGUUGUAUUAUCUUUCGGUCAUCUACGUUAUCCAUACGUUGCAGUGAACCAAAAAAACUGGCUUAUUCCAGACAAAACAUUAGGACAUGUAAGGCUUUGGUAUUAUGACAAUUCAUUACAGUACCAUUAAAACAUGUGAAUCCGGGUUUCAGUCUAAUGUAAUUUAACAGAUUUAAUGCCAAUUUGAUUAAUAUUAUAUUUUGUUGCAGGAAAUGAAAGGUAACAGUAAAACGAGAGAGAAAUGAUUGUUUUUCAUAGCUGAAGUAUCCAUAAUUUACUUCUAGUCGACUCGAACGAAUGAGUAAGUAGGCAUGCAGGAGUUGCCAUCCCUUCCUCUUUUACUUCGG
RNAcentral lists this long non-coding RNA (1161 nucleotides) under Nicotiana tabacum (common tobacco). Its description in RNAcentral is "long non-coding RNA (NTAB_LNC008425)". The record is from RNAcentral. Lineage: Eukaryota; Viridiplantae; Streptophyta; Magnoliopsida; Solanales; Solanaceae.